UCAUCCUUCAGCACAAAACAAACAAAAAACCCCUCCUCUUUCUGAUUAGAGAAACUGAGCAGAGGAUGUCUGGUAACUAUGGGUGAGUUUCUUCAGCGAACCUUCUCUGGAGACCUUCCACGUGCCAGAGAUAGGAGGGUGGACGAGCCACAGUCCUUGCCUUCCAGGACAGCCCACCAGCUCCUCUUAAAAUAAACAAGAAAACCACCGCCAGCAAUCCUCUGUGCUCCUUCCUCUUCUGCUGACCCGAUGAAGAAGACCUGGCACCCUGGGCAUGACAGAUCCUCUGCCAGCAGAGUUCUACAAGCAGCUCUGUCCCAGCCAUUGGGUAAUUUAGAAUCUGCUCACUUCGGUGGCUGACCCUAAAGAAGGUGAAGUGUGAAAUGGUCGAACUGGGCCACAGCACGAAGACCUAAAGUCUCCUUCUGGGAAAAGGAGAAUGGAGCGCAUUUCUUAUGUCCCUGAGUUACUGAUUGUUGGAGGAGGUGCGGCAUCUCAGUUACCCUUCUCCCCCGUGGUGAAGUUAGCAACCUGUGUUACAGGGGAAGAUGGGAUAAGGAACGUGCCAACUCAGGUGUGUAGAGACCUGAUGAAAGUGAUGCAAAUCAGGUGUGUCUGAUACCAAGGUCCAUGCUCUCGGCCACCGUUUGGGCCACUUCCAAAGCCAAGCAGCCCUGGCCAGGGGAGCACUGUGGGGUUCUGACCCUCCCUGAGCAUGUCUGUCCGAAGGAGGGGUGCAGGGGGCAGUCCCAUCCCCUCCAGGAGACAGCCUGCCCGAAACCCCUCCCUGUCCAUCAAACUGCUGGGCUGGCAAGGCCCGGGGGUUUCUGCGCCCGCAAGGACACGCCAAGGGCAGGUGCAGGUGCGGGUGGAGUCCGGGGACCCGGAAGGGACCGUGCAGCUAGCUCCCCGGCGUCGUGCCCAGCAGGCGGCAGACGGAUCUCAGGCGCAGACAGACAGCCACCCCUCCGGGGUCGCGGCCAGGGCCCCGGGAAAGCCAGCGCGGGAGCACGAAGGGCUCCUGCAGAGGAUGCUGCGCCGAUGAGGGCCGUCGUCGCACUGGGAGCCCCCGGAGCCCCCGGUCCGUGGCUACGACCGUGACCCGCUUCACUUCUGCUCUCGAGGGGCCCAGGCUGGUGGCAAAGACAGUCCGGCGAAGAAUCCUCACAAUGCCAAAGGCCAUCUCCUUCAAAAACAGUGGACACGAGAGCAAAACGGAGGGAAGGAAGAUGUCAUGCUGCCUGGGAAGCAGCCGCUAGGGCAGGAGGGACGCUGCUGCCAAGGGGACCCACCGUGUCCCCUUCCACGCCUGCUGGGGGGGGCGUCACCCCGUGUGUGGUCAGCUGUCCAGUGUUUGUUCUCCCUCCUUCUCCUUGGGAGACCCUGCCGUGGGCACAGAAGUGGCCCUGCUGGACACCUGCCCCUCCCCUGGCCAUCGUGACCCGACCCUUAGCCCACAAAGGGCUCAGACACUUGGCCCAGCCUCUCCCCGCUCCCUGCUGGGAUCAGCCCCUUGAAAAUGAAACUGUUGAAAGGUCACGGCCUUGAGCGGAGAGGUUGGGGCUCCAGCAGGAGCCCGCGGUGAAUCCACUUAAGAAAGCUGGGGUCUCUGCAUCUAUUGACAGGAUCAUAUGGUGCUUUUUUUUUCUCUUGCUGAUAUGAUCAGUGGAGGGUCCUCAAAGAGUUAAAAAUAGACCUGCCCUACGA
Molecule: long non-coding RNA, 1707 nt
Organism: Canis lupus familiaris (dog)
Lineage: Eukaryota; Metazoa; Chordata; Mammalia; Carnivora; Canidae
Exons: 3
Source: RefSeq, a predicted model, not a curated record